AACAGGAUUAGAUACCCUGGUAGUCCACGCCGUAAACGAUGUCGACUUGGAGGUUGUUCCCUUGAGGAGUGGCUUCCGGAGCUAACGCGUUAAGUCGACCGCCUGGGGAGUACGGCCGCAAGGUUAAAACUCAAAUGAAUUGACGGGGGCCCGCACAAGCGGUGGAGCAUGUGGUUUAAUUCGAUGCAACGCGAAGAACCUUACCUACUCUUGACAUCCAGCGAACGGGGCAGAGAUGCCCCGGUGCCUUCGGGAACGCUGAGACAGGUGCUGCAUGGCUGUCGUCAGCUCGUGUUGUGAAAUGUUGGGUUAAGUCCCGCAACGAGCGCAACCCUUAUCCUUUGUUGCCAGCGAUUCGGUCGGGAACUCAAAGGAGACUGCCGGUGAUAAACCGGAGGAAGGUGGGGAUGACGUCAAGUCAUCAUGGCCCUUACGAGUAGGGCUACACACGUGCUACAAUGGCGCAUACAAAGAGAAGCGACCUCGCGAGAGCAAGCGGACCUCACAAAGUGCGUCGUAGUCCGGAUCGGAGUCUGCAACUCGACUCCGUGAAGUCGGAAUCGCUAGUAAUCGUGGAUCAGAAUGCCACGGUGAAUACGUUCCCGGGCCUUGUACACACCGCCCGUCACACCAUGGGAGUGGGUUGCAAAAGAAGUAGGUAGCUUAACCUUCGGGAGGGCGCUUACCACUUUGUGAUUCAUGACUGGGGUGAAGUCGUAACAAGGUAACC
RNAcentral lists this ribosomal RNA (730 nucleotides) under bacterium F81(2015). RNAcentral's name for it is "bacterial SSU rRNA". It matches the Rfam family "Bacterial small subunit ribosomal RNA", at positions 771 to 1501 of the family's 1533-position model. The record is from RNAcentral.